AGUGAACGCUGGCGGUAGGCCUAACACAUGCAAGUCGAACGGCAGCACAGUAAGAGCUUGCUCUUACGGGUGGCGAGUGGCGGACGGGUGAGGAAUACAUCGGAAUCUACUUUUUCGUGGGGGGUAACGUAGGGAAACUUACGCUAAUACCGCAUACGACCUACGGGUGAAAGCAGGGGAUCUUCGGACCUUGCGCGAUUGAAUGAGCCGAUGUCGGAUUAGCUAGUUGGCGGGGUAAAGGCCCACCAAGGCGACGAUCCGUAGCUGGUCUGAGAGGAUGAUCAGCGACACUGGAACUGAGACACGGUCCAGACUCCUACGGGAGGCAGCAGUGGGGAAUAUUGGACAAUGGGCGCAAGCCUGAUCCAGCCAUACCGCGUGGGUGAAGAAGGCCUUCGGGUUGUAAAGCCCUUUUGUUGGGAAAGAAAAGCAGCAGGUUAAUACCCCGCUGUUCUGACGGUACCCAAAGAAUAAGCACCGGCUAACUUCGUG
This 492-nucleotide ribosomal RNA is filed under the name uncultured bacterium. Its description in RNAcentral is "partial 16S ribosomal RNA". It matches the Rfam family "Bacterial small subunit ribosomal RNA", at positions 29 to 507 of the family's 1533-position model. The record is from RNAcentral.